RNAcentral lists this ribosomal RNA (332 nucleotides) under uncultured bacterium. RNAcentral describes it as "bacterial SSU rRNA". It matches the Rfam family "Bacterial small subunit ribosomal RNA", at positions 568 to 898 of the family's 1533-position model. The record is from RNAcentral.
CGCGUAGACGGCUGUCUAAGUCUGGAGUGAAAGUCCUGCUUUCAAGGUGGGAAUUGCUUUGGAGACUGGAUGGCUUGAGUGCGGAAGAGGUAAGUGGAAUUCCCAGUGUAGCGGUGAAAUGCGUAGAGAUUGGGAGGAACACCAGUGGCGAAGGCGACUUACUGGGCCGUAACUGACGUUGAUGCGCGAAAGCGUGGGGAGCGAACAGGAUUAGAUACCCUGGUAGUCCACGCGGUAAACGAUGAGUGCUAGGUGUGGCGGGUAUCGACCCCUGCUGUGCCGGAGUUAACACAAUAAGCACUCCGCCUGGGGAGUACGGCCGCAAGGUUGAA